This 402-nucleotide ribosomal RNA is filed under the name uncultured Microsporidia. Its description in RNAcentral is "SSU rRNA". It matches the Rfam family "Microsporidia small subunit ribosomal RNA", at positions 1 to 405 of the family's 1311-position model. Lineage: Eukaryota; Fungi; Microsporidia. The record is from RNAcentral.
CACCAGGUUGAUUCUGCCUGACGUAGACGCUUGCCUUAAGGAUUAAGCCAUGCAAGCCAGCGAAGGUAACGGAGCGGCGAACGGCUCAGUAGGACAGGGACAUCUGACCAUUGUACAGGAUAACCGCGGUAAUCUGUGGCUAAUACUAUAGUGGGUGAGACCCUGGCCUAUCAGCUUGGCGGUACGGUAAGUGCGUACCGUGGCGACGACGGGUAGCGGGGGAAUCGGGGUUUGAUUCCGGAGAGGGAGCCUGAGAGAUGGCUGCCACGUCCAAGGACGGCAGCAGGCGCGGAACUUACCCACUUGGAGGACCAGAGGUAGUGACGAGGCGUUUUAAAUGAGAACAGUGUAAAAAGCUGAUUGAAAGCUACUGGAGGGCAAGUCUGGUGCCAGCAGCCGCGG